UACGUAGGGUGCAAGCGUUGUCCGGAAUUAUUGGGCGUAAAGAGCUCGUAGGCGGUCUGUCGCGUCUGCUGUGAAAACUCAGGGCUUAACCCUGAGCUUGCAGUGGGUACGGGCAGACUAGAGUGGCGGUAGGGAGACUGGAAUUCCUGGUGUAGCGGUGAAAUGCGCAGAUAUCAGGAGGAACACCGGUGGCGAAGGCGGGUCUCUGGGCCGUA
RNAcentral lists this ribosomal RNA (215 nucleotides) under uncultured bacterium. RNAcentral describes it as "partial 16S ribosomal RNA". It matches the Rfam family "Bacterial small subunit ribosomal RNA", at positions 524 to 738 of the family's 1533-position model. The record is from RNAcentral.